Molecule: long non-coding RNA, 3534 nt
Organism: Arachis stenosperma
Lineage: Eukaryota; Viridiplantae; Streptophyta; Magnoliopsida; Fabales; Fabaceae
Exons: 2
Source: RefSeq, a predicted model, not a curated record
UGCGAAGCCCAAUUCACACCCGCACAAACCCUCCAACCUUUCUUCUUCUUCAUCUCUGGUUCUCUUUAACUCUUAAUCACCAUUGCCAACCUUAACCUUCAUCCCACCAGUCCAGCACCACCGUCGACCUCCACAGCCAAUAUCAACCCCCUCUUCUCCUUCCCUUCUCCUGUUUCUUCUUUUUCUUUCUCUUCUCUUUCUCUUCUCUCCUUCCCCUUUCACUGCCCCUGCUUCACCCUGCCGACGCCGCCUCCCUUGGCCAGCCAUCAUCACAGUAGCUCUGUAGUGCCAUCAUAAUUGUCCAUGCUACUCCUUCUUCCACUCACUCUCACUGCCUCUCUCACAGUCUCGCAUAACUCUACUCCAUUUCUCUCCGUCUCUGAGACAGUCAGAGCAGGGUGAUGGCAGUAAUUGCCAGGCCUGGGAGUUCAUGGAUCUAUGGAGCAGACAAGAUGGCUCCCAGGGCUAUCUCAGUCCACACUUUGACCAUUGAGACUUGGAUUUGGCAGCAGAUCUUAGCCAAUCACGUGAUGCUAAGCACCGAUGAGACCUACAUUAUUACUAACAUGGCAGUCUUGAUUUGGUGUGUCCUGGAAGGUAAGCAGCUGUACCUUUCAAGGCUCAUCAGAAAGCACAUAGGGCGGGAUCACUACAUGGGCAACUUGGCCUUCCUGUGUUUGAUUACUGAGCUAGCUAUGGAGGCUGGAGUUGUCUGGCUGGCCACUGAUGAGAGAUUGACUGUCGCAGGAAGGAAGAGGUGAUACCACAUGGUGACUGGUACGGGCCUUAGCCGACAUCCAGACGCAGAGGCAGACGUUGGGCGGCAUCUGCUUCAGAGGUAAGUCCCUCAGCAUCAAUAGCACCAGCAGAGUUGCCAUCAGCCCCAACAGCACCAUCAUCAUCAUCACAGCCACCGCUCUAUCGUCUAGUCCACUGGCUCGUUAAGGACAUAGCUCGUUUGGAGCGUCACUCCAAGUGAUGAUAUGAGAACAUCAAGAGAUAGAACCGGGCUUGGGACUAGAGGAUAGAGGAGUUGGAUACCCCCCUCAGAGCACAACGAGGAGGAGAAGCAGGUUCCACCGGAUGAAGGUGGAGAUUUCGAUGACUACGUCUACUCCAUAUGAUUUCAUGAGCACCGAGGACAAUGUUGGAUUUUAUGUGUGGAGACAUCAUCCAACUAAAUCGGCGAAUUUUGGUGAUAUCUAUUCUAUUCCAAACACUUUAUUUUUAGUUUUUAUUAUGCUUUUUAGAUAUUUUGUUAGCAUUUUGAUAUUUUAUAUAUGUUUUAGUUUAUUGCCCAUUUAUUAGUUUGGGUUCUCCAUAACUAGUAUCUUUAUAGUUUGUUGCACUUUUAUUUUGGCUUGUAUAUAUGUCUUUAGUCUUUAGUUGUUGGUUAUGAUUAGAUAAUGUGAUAAUUGCACCUAAUUUAGUUUUCUAUAUGCAUUUGACGAUUUUGUUUGAUUGAGAAUAGGAAAUGAACUUAGGCAUUUUGAUGAUUUUUCAUCCAAUCAUAUUAGAGUUUAUCUUUUUCAUUGAACUUGCUUGAACUAUAUUGUGGAACAUAGUUUUAGAGCUAAAACACACAACGUUAUGAGUUUUUUAGCCUUAAUGUGUGGUUACAUCAUAUUAAUUACUAUUUUUAUUUUUUUGUGUUAUGCUCUUUUUAUAAUUGUAAUCUUUGAUUUGUUUGAUUCUUUAUGUCCAUUAUUUAGUAUAUGAAUACAUUUAUGUGAUUGAGACCGUUAUUCCGUUGUAGCUCACUUACCCAUAUAGCCUUAUCAUUUCAUCUACUUUUGUUAGCCAACUUUGAGCCUUAUUAAUUUCCUUUUGUUCUUAAUUUCAUCACAUUAUUAAGCUUAAGUGAAAAAUAAUAAAUAUUCUUCAUUUGGAUCUUUGAUUAGCUUAGGCUAGUGAGAGUGUGUAAUAUCUAAGUGUGAGAAAAUUUGUGAACAUUGGUUGAUGAAAGUUUUGUAUUUUUAUUGAAAAUAUUAAAAAUUAGGUACAUACUCAUGUAUUAAUUGUGUAAACCAUAUGCAUUGACACUUGUUGUAUAUAUUUCACUUAAAAAAAGAAAAGAAAAGAAAGAAAAAGAAUAAAAGGGGGACAAAAAUUUCCUAAAAAAAGGUAAUAAUAACAAUACAUAUGUGUUGUGAUUGAAAAGAAUGCAUGAGUGUGUGGAAGAAAAAGUGAAUAAUGGGUAGCUAGGCUUUGCAUUAGAGUUGAGUAAGUCUUUAUAUGAUUAGGUGAGAGUUUAAGUUAAUCAAAUAUUCAAAUUUCAAGCUCACUUGACCAUAUGCAUCUUUACCUUUACCCUAACCCCGUUACAGUCUUUGGAAAAGUCCUCAUGAUACCUGUAUGCAUAAAUUGAAUAAUUGUUGAUUAUUAGAUGAAAAAUAAGUCUUAAAAAGCAAGAUUAGAAGAGAAUUGAAUGAAUGAACCCUAUACACUUAAGUAAUUAGAGAGUAUACACAUCUGGUGAGGGUUUCGAUUGCUCAAUUCUAUGUUUUCACCUAGUAUUAUAUCUUAUCUUGCAAGUUGUAAAUUCUUUUCAAUGACUCUAAUCAGUUGUUGGAUUUGAAUUGGUUGCUAUUGUCAUUAGCCCUUGAGUAUUUACAUGCUUUCUUGGAAAUUGACUUAUUUUGACCAGUAGAUAGAAGUAAAUGAAGCUGAUAGAGGUAGGUAGUAUUAGGUAGGCUCAUUGCAUGAAUUAGAUAGAUUGUAUUUAGAUAGCUUGCAUCGAAUAAAUGCUGAUACCCUUUUCUUGUCUUUCUUGAUGUUUAGUAUGAGGACAUGCUAUUAUUUAAGUGUUCGGAGAUUGAUAUUUUAUGGUAAAUUUUGGAUUGAAAUGAGUAGAUUUUAUCAACUUAUCUUGCAUUUAUUUACUGAAAUAGCAUGAUUUUGUGAAUUUUUUCUAAUUGUGUUUAAUGAUUAAAAACAUGUUUUUUCUGCCUUUAAAUUGCUAAAUUCAAUUUACCAUGAUUUUAUUCGAUGCCUUGAUAUGUUUGUUAAGUAAUCUCAGGUUAAGAAGGUAAAGAUUGGAUUGAAAAAAUGAGGAAAAAGCGUGCAAAGUGGAGAAUUCAUGAAGAAAUGGAGUUUUUGAGCAUUUCGCCUAGCUUGCGCGUACGCAUGCCUUAUGCAUAUGCAUGACUAACAGCACAUGAUUCACUUAAGAAAACACGUGUCUGGCGAUUUCAGGGCCUUUUCAAGUGUAAUUCCAACUCAUUUAUGAAGUAUUUCAAGCCAAACUCAAGGAGAAUCAAGGGGGAGCAAUUAGGAUAGUUUUAUGUCAUGUUUUAGGUUAGAAUUCUAAAGAGAAAAGCUCUCUCUACUCUCUAGAAAUUAGGAUUUUAGAUUUAGUUUUUUCCCUUAGUUUAGGUUUUAAUUCUUGAUCUAGUUUAAUUCUCCUCAUAGUUUCUUAUUUUAGUGUCUUAAUUUUCUUAGUUUUAUUUGUUUAUUUCUCUAUUUUAUUACUUUCAUGUUUAUGAACUAUUGUUGAAUUUUUAUUUUCUUUAAUAUAAUUUAUGUUUUCAUGCU